Myxocyprinus asiaticus (Chinese sucker) is the source of this 538-nucleotide long non-coding RNA. RefSeq lists it as uncharacterized. The record is from RefSeq and is a predicted model, not a curated record. Lineage: Eukaryota; Metazoa; Chordata; Actinopteri; Cypriniformes; Catostomidae. The transcript is spliced from 3 exons.
GUGAGAGAGAAAUAUAUGGUGAAGCUGCUGUGAGAUCUUUGGGUUACAAAGUGGUAAAUAUCAUCUUUCUGGAUAAAUAUACAUUUUGUAUUGUAAAGAUGCACUAUGUAGUUCAUGUGUUAGUCUAAAAUAAGAUGUUUGAUGUGUAAUUUGAUUAGAUGCACGGAGUUCGCAUGUGUAAUGAGUGGACCGCUUGGUGAAACUAAAAGGGGUUAGAACAGAGCCACAACCUGGAUAACUUAAUUUCGUGUGCUGAGAUCUGCUGCACUCACCAGAGCUCAGUGGAGACGUUCUCUCAGGGCCCUGCUAACUGAUCACACAAACUCUGCUCAAAGUGAGUGUCUUCAGCCUGGCAGAUCACUUAAAACAUCAACAUAUGCAGCUGCAAGAGCAGACUAUUAUCAAUAAUCAUUAAAAAGGGUAUAUUUGAUGUUCAUAAAUAUGGAAAUAGAAAACAGAGAGAGGAAGUUUAUGCAUAGCGCAAGUAUCAUCCUUAUGCAUGCAAUGGCUGGAAUUAAACAUGUCAGCUAAACAUAUA